This 530-nucleotide ribosomal RNA is filed under the name Penaeus vannamei (Pacific white shrimp). RNAcentral describes it as "partial 16S ribosomal RNA". Lineage: Eukaryota; Metazoa; Arthropoda; Malacostraca; Decapoda; Penaeidae. The record is from RNAcentral.
CGUUGAGAAGUUCGUUGUGCAAAUCAAUGCAUCUUGAAAAUUAAGUCUUACUAAUAUUAAGCUAUCAUAGUGUAUAUAUUUAAAGGUAAUAAAAAGAUUUUGGAGUAUUAUUGUUUUAGUAGAGUGAAUCGAAAAAAAAUUAAAAAGAGUUAUAGAAUAAAGUACUGUAAAGGAAAGAUGAAAUAAAUUGAAAAUUUAAUUAAAAUAAAGUAAAGUUAAAUACUUGUACCUUGUGUAUUAGGGAGGAUUAAAAUAAUCUUAUUAGAGUAAGUAGUCCCGAAAGAAAAAGAGCUAACAUAAAUAAAUAGUUUUCGUAUUAAUGAAAUUAUUAAAUUUAUGUUAGUAGUGAAAUGCUAGACGAUUUUUCAUAUCUGGUUGAAGGAGAAUUAAAUUAAAUUUAGUUAUUUUGAGGUUAAAAAAGCUUUAAAAUAAUAAAGAGUAGGAGGGAAGAGCUUCUUAUUCUAAUAAUAAGUAAACUAUAAUAAAAGUAAUUUAAGUAUUACUGAAUUAGGCUUAAAAACAGCCAUAUU